RNAcentral lists this long non-coding RNA (4724 nucleotides) under Daucus carota (carrot). RNAcentral describes it as "long non-coding RNA (DCAR_LNC001548)". Lineage: Eukaryota; Viridiplantae; Streptophyta; Magnoliopsida; Apiales; Apiaceae. The record is from RNAcentral.
UGAUUCCCAGUUCCCUGCAACAUGAUUCCGAUUUGCCCACUGUGCGAAGCAAAAGUGCGACAAAACAAGACUCAAGAGUCAGUCCCUUAAUGUCAUGUUGGUUUAUGCAAAUUGAUCAUGGAACAAUGCAACUAAUAUUAAAAAUUCACUUUUUGAAGAGAAAAAAAAUUGGAAUACAUUAUCUACAUAUUUGAAGCAGUUGACAAGAAAGGUAAUCAGUGGCUCAAGUUACAAACCAAACUCCUCAGGUCUUCUUUUGAACUUCUUUAAACACACAAAAAGUCCUUCACAGUUGCAAUAAAAAAAUAUGAAGGGCCAAGAACGAUACAUUUCAAUAAUAUUACAACAGAGCAAUAGGCACUUGAAGCAACACCAUAAAGGCAUAAACAAACAAUUUAUACUGAAUCUACUCCCUCCACCUGCUGUCGAGCAAGAUAUCUUUCUCUUCUUUCUUUCUACAAAAAAUAGAACAUAAUAACAUUAAGGAAAAAAUCCAGAAAGCAAUUUCUACAGGACUGUGAUUCGGAUUCAACAAAAACUAACCCAUUCAUCUAUGACCAGUCCUUCGCCAAUAAUCUUUGGACCUGUUUCUUCUGGAGGUUUUUUGCGAGACUCAACAGCAGCCUCAGCUUCAGCCAGCUGACGUUUUAAUUUCUCAAGAGCCUUGCAAUGAAUUAAAGGGAAUAAUUUAUACAUUAUUCAAUUCUUUUCUCUAUUUUAUAUAUUAUACAUGGUGGCUGCCUAGAGACAACUAAUUGCACAAGUUAUGCCUACAUAAGGUAUCCAUACAUGUUCACAAAAAAAAGAACAAGCAACACAAUAGAAAGGCCUGCCAAAUAAGAGCACCACUGACUCCACCCUUUUUUAUAAUGAAAGCACCAUUUUCAAUCCAUGUAGAAAAUGAAUCACGACCAUACUACUGUAUAAAUGAGUGAAUAAAAAACCCUUACAGGAGUAGGACGUUCCACAUCAAGAAAUACAACCCGUAAUAUCUGCUCAACAGCAACUUGAUCCUUUUGUUCAUCAAACUGAAAUGAAACAAGAACAGAAUCUUCACCAAGGAUGAAAGAUAAAUAUUUGAUAGCAAUGCAGAAGCCACUCCAACUCUCCUUCAAAUUUACUCAUAAUAACCGUAGUAUGCAUAUCAAAAUACUAUAUUAGUCCCAUAAUAUUCAGCUUGAGAGAUGCAAGUUUGAUGUAUAGUGGUUGCCACAUAGUACAAAAAAGAAUGAAUCAAACCAUCAUAACAGGUACAGUUCAUACCAGCUCAGGUACAUAGUCCAUCGGUCCUUUCACCUUCAGGCUCAUGAUCUUAAACUUCACCCUGCUUUUCUGAUCCAUUGGCUUUUCAUUGUUCUCCGGAUUCUCCACAAAUUUAAAUACUUUUGAUACAAAAAAAAAGUCAAAACUAACUCAAUAUACAACUUGAAGUGAAGACCAAAUAUCAAAUAUGAUUAUCUCAACAAGCUAAUUUGGACAACUCUGUAUAAUGUGGCAACUAUAACUAUGCUAUGAAAAGAAAAACAUGAAGAAAGAUCAUAAAGAAGACAUUACCAGUAGCUAUAAGACUCUCGCCAGGAGCAAGAAUUGCCCCUGGAGGACGCAUAAAACAGCUCUUUGGUGCAGUUGUUUGGAACUAAAUCACAUAAGCAAGAAGCAUUAAUCAACAAAAUUAAGGACAUUAUAGGUCAGAAAAGAAAUAUUUAUUAUGAACACAUUUACUAACACUGUAUCACUGCCCUAAAAAGAUGCAUCAUGGUCAAGAUACGGAAGGAAUACAGGUAUAAUACCUUAAAAGCUACAUGAGAUUUGCUUGUAUUUUUAAUCCCAAUCGCACUCCGGACUUGUUUGCCAGGUUCGUCUAAAAUGAUACAAAAAAAGGUUCAAAUGUAAGCACUACUACCAUAUUUAACAGCACCUCAUACAAGAAAACGUAAGCUGAAAAUUAAAUUACAGGGCUAUAAUUUUGUACUCCAAUGCAGAUAUAUGUAACAUCUACAAAAAUUCAACCCAUUCUAAAAAAGCAACAGCAAAAGACGGCCAUGCCAGAGAAAUAAAUUUAGCUAAUAAACAUACACAUGUUAAAAGACAUCAAGAUCAUCAGACAUCAAGAACAUAUACAAGUGUAAACUGAGAGGAGGCUUUAUCAUCAAGUGACCUUGUCUUUCCUAUUUACAUUUUGCAUUGGUAGGGUGUAAAAUGGAAGAAGAAAUUAAAACAUUAACAAUCUCUUAACCAAAGCUUUUGUGAGAAGUUCGCAAACUCAACUAUCACUCUUCUUGUAGACAUAACAAUUCUAGCUAUAUACAAAACCAUUACCCAGUAAAGGCUCAAACAGAUAUACAAAUAAAACAUUUUUCGCACAUGUCCAGAUAAUCUUAACGGACAUAGAUACGAAGGACGUGCCUUCUACUCGUAAAAUUAUUUCUUUAAUUCACAACCUUUUUUCCUGAUUCAUGGCUAUACAUGCAAUAUGAUUUACCUCAUCUAUAGUCUGCAUGUGUGAAACAAUNAUUUUUUUAACAAAUGAAUACUUAUUUAUAUAAAUAAGAAAGGAUAAAUGAUUUUUAAAUAUUCAGUUUUAAAAGAUAAUAUGUAAGUAUGGAAUUGUAUUCUCAAAUAAGUCUAAAGUUUGAUAAAAUAAGAACACAUUAUAGCAUUUUCAACCACACAAAACCCUUAGCUAAAAUACAAGAAAUCUGUGUUACACAUUAUUUGUAUUGAACUGAUAUAUUCAAUUUUAACAAACUAAAAUAUUAAUAACAUACUAUUUUUAAAUUAUAACCAACCAAUAUAGCCAAUACCAUUCGAGUGCAACAGUUUCGGCAAAUUAUGCAUAAUAUCGUAUAUAUUUUAUUUUAACAAACUAAAAUAUUAAUAACAUACUAAUUUUAAAUUAUAACCAACUAAUAUAACCAAUACAAUGUCUUGCCUUUUCAGCAAAUCAUAAUAAUAUAAUAUCUCUUAGGUCCAAUUUUAACCAAUAAUUAUAGUCAACCUCUAAAUUACUGUUAGGCAACUUUGAGUCGAAUUUGUAUUAACAGUCCAGUUUUAAACAAAAAGUAUACUUGCACUCGUACUAUAACUAGGGAGAGAUCUUCUGGAAUGAGCAACUACACAUAUAUCGGGAGAAUUUAAAAUUCAAGUUUUAAGUAGAGAAGUAAAUGAGUAAACUCAAGUUUGCAGGAAUAAAGAACAUUCAAGCUACAUUGCUCCUUUGCAUGUCAAAUUAAGAAGAAAAAAGAUCACAGGAACUCUUAUUAAGCUAUAGAACUGUUAACCAAUCCUAUUAUUUAGCUGAUGCAGGAGCUCAUCAUCAUCAGUUGUUCCGGAUUCACAUAAUUAGAUGGCAGCUGAAAUCAAGCACUCCCAACAACACAAAGCCACUGGCCGACGAACAAUGUAGCGCAGUUGACAUUGGGGUUGAUGGAGUUGAACUCAUCAGCUGACAAGGCAAAACUCUGAGCAAUGCUAAAGCAAGUAUCUCCGCUGCUCACUCCAGUCACCAUAUCACAUGUUGGAACGGAUGCUUUUGCAAGCCUCCCUGUUUUCAGAAAUACAACUCAUAAACUAAUUUGCAAUACAAUAAUAAGUGAAAUUUUGGAGAGUUACAACGUGAUCAACAUUAAUUCAGAUAAUCAAAUUAACAAAGAUAUGAAUCCUGAAGAUACUUACUGGGCAAAACUGAUCUGCUUUCAGAAAUAGCAAAGAUGAGAAGAAGAGCAAGUGUGAGAAUGAGCAGGGCACUAUUGUUGUUGCUUGUCUUGGCCAUUGCACUAUUUGUUCUUGGAGGAAAGCAGCUAAGCCAGAUAAGAUGAGGAUACUUGCUUUCUUACUUCUGUGUUAGUGCUUCCUUAAACCCCACAUUUAUACUUUACAUUGAGGAAUGCGACCAGCAAGUAAGCCAAAAAUCAUUGUUUCCUUAGAAACAUACCCGCCCUCUUGUGACGCCAUGCGAUUUAACCAAUCAGGUACGCCGAUUUGUAUGCCCAUAACAGAUAGAUGAUCCACACACAGGUACCAGACAAAUCCAAAAUACUUAGUAAAACAUUAAGUAAAAAGUCCGACAAAUAAUUUAGUAACGCAUAAAGAAAUAGUGAGUUGCAGACUGCAGUAGUCAAUUAGUCAUUUAGUCCUCUUUCACUCAUUUGCCUAAUUAUCUGUCAUAUGUCUGAUGAGAGAGCAGACGCUUACUCACACUAGAACCUAUUUGGACUGGCAUAUUUUGGCCGACUAUAUUUUUUUUGUAAGACGAUUUAAUUCAGAACUAAACACUAACGAUUAUGCAAGCAGUUAAGACCCGGUUUAGCUGCAUUAAGUAAAUAAAACAUUUAAGACCCGGUUUAGCUGCAUCAAGUAAAUAAAACAUUUAACGUGAUUCCCAGUUCCCUGCAACAUGAUUCCGAUUUGCCCACUGUGCGAAGCAAAAGUGCGACAAAACAAGACUCAAGAGUCAGUCCCUUAAUGUCAUGUUGGUUUAUGCAAAUUGAUCAUGGAACAAUGCAACUAAUAUUAAAAAUUCACUUUUUGAAGAGAAAAAAAAUUGGAAUACAUUAUCUACAUAUUUGAAGCAGUUGACAAGAAAGGUAAUCAGUGGCUCAAGUUACAAACCAAACUCCUCAGGUCUUCUUUUGAACUUCUUUAAACACACAAAAAGUCCUUCACAGUUGCAAUAAAAAAAUAUGAAGGGCCAAGAACGAUACAUUUCAAUAAUAUUACAACAG